RNAcentral lists this unclassified non-coding RNA (232 nucleotides) under Hevea brasiliensis (rubber tree). The record is from RNAcentral. Lineage: Eukaryota; Viridiplantae; Streptophyta; Magnoliopsida; Malpighiales; Euphorbiaceae.
GGGCACUUCACGGGCGAAGGUCGGGACCAGGCCUUUGUAGAGGCCCCUCAGACCCCCUUCGGAUUUGAGUACAUGCUUGGCCACAUCCAUUGGUCCACCGUACUUAACUGCGCUGACAGAGGGGCCAGAGACUGGUGCCAAGGAACUUUGCGCCUGCAGCCUGCAUUUGAUCAACUCAGUAGGACAAGCUAACAACGAAACCGCGACUCCUGCACCCGCACCACAAACAACC